CUUAGACUUUUUUUUUCUUUUUCAAAUUCAGAUGGUGAGAACUGGUCUGAAUGUACAAUUCAGUCUUACUGUUUUCCAUCAAGGUGUCACCAAUCUUCCAGUCUCCCAGGCAGAAGUUUUUGAGAGACAAAUGGAUGGAAAAACUUUUUGGCCCUCUUCCUUAGGAUCAGAAGGUCACAGAACGUUUUCCUGAAUCGGAUUCUGGGUUAAAGCUGCCAGUAGGAAGAAUUCACAUGAGAUUUCAAAGGUGGAAGAGAAGGAGAAGGUGUUUUUUUCUUGCAACAGUUUGGCUGGGGAGCUGAGAUCUUCACUGAGGGCUUCCUUUGGCUCCGGGUUCCCGUGGACAGGCAGCCGAUGUCAUCAGUGGUGGCUUCUCUGUGAUCACUAUACCACCAGGUCUCCUAAAGUGGCCUUCUUGACCUUUGCCUCCCCAGCUCUUUCAAUGGUUAUGUGAAACUCUAAUUAUGUACAUUAAAUAUCUUUCAGCUCAUAAUACAUAGAGUCAUUUCCCUCCCC
Molecule: long non-coding RNA, 516 nt
Filed under: Homo sapiens (human)
Lineage: Eukaryota; Metazoa; Chordata; Mammalia; Primates; Hominidae
Description: HSALNT0200762
Source: RNAcentral